RNAcentral lists this ribosomal RNA (627 nucleotides) under uncultured Verrucomicrobiota bacterium. Its description in RNAcentral is "bacterial SSU rRNA". It matches the Rfam family "Bacterial small subunit ribosomal RNA", at positions 70 to 680 of the family's 1533-position model. Lineage: Bacteria; Pseudomonadati; Verrucomicrobiota. The record is from RNAcentral.
UCCGUUGUAGCAAUACGAUGGAAAGUCUAGUGGCGAACGGGUGCUUAACACGUGGGCAACCUGCCGAGAAGUGGGGGAUAGCUCGCCGAAAGGCGAAUUAAUACCGCAUGUGAUUAGAGUGGACAUCCAUUCGAAAUUAAAGUCGGGGCAACCUGACGCUUCUUGUGGGGCCCGCGGCCUAUCAGCUAGUUGGUGAGGUAAAGGCUCACCAAGGCUUUGACGGGUAGCUGGUCUGAGAGGACGACCAGCCACACUGGGACUGAGACACGGCCCAGACACCUACGGGUGGCAGCAGUCGAGAAUUUUUGACAAUGGGGGAAACCCUGAUCGAGCGACGCCGCGUGGAGGAUGAAGGUCUUCGGAUUGUAAACUCCUGUCAUUGGGGAACAAUGCGUGACGCUUAACUGCCGUUGCGUUGAUAGUACCCGAAGAGGAAGAGACGGCUAACUCUGUGCCAGCAGCCGCGGUAAUACAGAGGUCUCAAGCGUUGUUCGGAUUCAUUGGGCGUAAAGGGUGCGUAGGCGGCGCGGUAAGUCGGGUGUGAAAUCUCGGAGCUUAACUCCGAAACUGCAUUCGAUACUGCCGUGCUUGAGGACUGGAGAGGAGACUGGAAUUCUCGGUGUAGCA